RNAcentral lists this microRNA precursor (103 nucleotides) under Marmota monax (woodchuck). The record is from RNAcentral. Lineage: Eukaryota; Metazoa; Chordata; Mammalia; Rodentia; Sciuridae.
AGUGGAAUAGCUGGGUCAAAUGGUGGUUCCAGUCCAAGUUUUCUGAGGAACUUCUAUACUGCAUUCCAGAGUGGUUGCACCAAUUUGUAGUCCCACCAACAAU